This 120-nucleotide ribosomal RNA is filed under the name Bombyx mori (domestic silkworm). Lineage: Eukaryota; Metazoa; Arthropoda; Insecta; Lepidoptera; Bombycidae. The record is from RNAcentral.
GUUAACGUCCACACCAUGUUGAAUACACCGGUUCUCGUCCGAUCACCGAAGUCAAGCAACAUCGGGCGUAGUAGUAAGAUCCAUGAUGUGUGUACUAAGGGCUAAGUUCUAUGUCGAACU